Molecule: long non-coding RNA, 712 nt
Filed under: Pan troglodytes (chimpanzee)
Lineage: Eukaryota; Metazoa; Chordata; Mammalia; Primates; Hominidae
Description: lincRNA
Source: RNAcentral
UCCAGGUGCAAAGUGGGAAGUGUGAGUCCUCAGUCUUGGGCUAUUCGGCCACGUGCCUGCCGGACAUGGGACGCUGGAGGGUCAGCAGCGUGGAGUCCUGGCCUUUUGCGUCCACGGGUGGGAAAUUGGCCAUUGCCACGGCGGGAACUGGGACUCAGGCUGCCUCCCGGCCGUUUCUCAUCAGUCCACUGGACUCGUGGGCGCUCGCACUGGCGCUGAUGUAGUUUCCUGACCUCUGACCCGUAUUGUCUCCAGAUUAAAGGUACGACAUUUGGAGGCCCCAGCGAGAAACGCCACCGGGCGAGAGCCGGGCCCGCUGUGUGCUCCCCCGGAAGGACAGCCAGCUUGUAGGGGGGAGCGCCACCUGAAAAAAAAUUUCCAGGUCCCCAAAGGGUGACCGUCUUCCGGAGGACAGCGGAUCGACUACCAUGUGGGUGCCCACAAAAAUUCCACCUCUGAGUCCUCAACUGCUGACCCCGGGGUCAGAGUCUCACUCUGUUUCCCAGGCUGGAGUUCUGUGGCAUCGUGUUGGCUCACUGCAACCUCCAUCUCCUGGGUUCAAGCAAUUCUCUUGCCUCAGCCUCCAGAGUAGCUGGGAUUACAGGUGCCCACCACCACACCCGGCUAAUUUUUUUAUAUUUUUAGUAGACAUGGGGUUUCACCAUGUUGCCCAGUCCAGUCUCAAACUUCUGGCUCAAGCAGUCCUCCCGCC